This 492-nucleotide ribosomal RNA is filed under the name uncultured bacterium. Its description in RNAcentral is "partial 16S ribosomal RNA". It matches the Rfam family "Bacterial small subunit ribosomal RNA", at positions 29 to 507 of the family's 1533-position model. The record is from RNAcentral.
AGUGAACGCUGGCGGUAGGCCUAACACAUGCAAGUCGAACGGCAGCACAGUAAGAGCUUGCUCUUACGGGUGGCGAGUGGCGGACGGGUGAGGAAUACAUCGGAAUCUACUUUUUCGUGGGGGAUAACGUAGGGAAACUUACGCUAAUACCGCAUACGACCUACGGGUGAAAGCAGGGGAUCUUCGGACCUUGCGCGAUUGAAUGAGCCGAUGUCGGAUUAGCUAGUUGGCGGGGUAAAGGCCCACCAAGGCGACGAUCCGUAGCUGGUCUGAGAGGAUGAUCAGCGACACUGGGACUGAGACACGGUCCAGACUCCUACGGGAGGCAGCAGUGGAGAAUAUUGGACAAUGGGCGCAAGCCUGAUCCAGCCAUACCGCGUGGGUGAAGAAGGCCUUCGGGUUGUAAAGCCCUUUUGUUGGGAAAGAAAAGCAGCAGGUUAAUACCCCGCUGUUCUGACGGUACCCAAAGAAUAAGCACCGGCUAACUUCGUG